Cynoglossus semilaevis (tongue sole) is the source of this 4094-nucleotide long non-coding RNA. RefSeq lists it as uncharacterized. The record is from RefSeq and is a predicted model, not a curated record. Lineage: Eukaryota; Metazoa; Chordata; Actinopteri; Pleuronectiformes; Cynoglossidae. The transcript has 6 exons.
GCUUCUUCUUUUUUUUUGUCGGUGUCGGCCACCUACACGGCCCAAACCUGUAACAAGCUCAUUCAUGCAGCCUGUUUUUUUUUUUUUUUUACUCCUUCUUUUUGGCUAAAUAUCCAAAACUUAUACGUGUUGGAAUUUUACAAAAACCAUUUGCCCCGGUGCUGCGUGCCACAGUUCUGACUCCCUCUACAGGACCCCGUCAUGGACGGCCCACCAACUGGCGGCCCUGUGUGCCGAGGCCAGUGAGUGGUUUGAGGUGCUGCGGUGGACCAGGCUCGUAGAAACACUGGGCCGGGCCGGCCUGGAGUGUUUGACUUUUUAUUCCAAACAAUAGUCAGCUGGUUGUUUUCGUUGUUUGAUUUCAUUUUACAGUCAUAAUCUCCUGAAGCAACUGAAGGUCACGCUCACUUUAAAGAGAAAACUACCUACACGCUCGGUCCUACAGUUCAUUGUUUCACGUGCCCGGACAAAAAUAACUUGUUCCCGAUCAUGUACAGUAUGUAGACAUGGAUAAAUUAUAUGAAUUAGUCUCAGAAAAUAUCUUCAGAUUGAAAAUGUAUUAUUUGCAAAGGCAGUUCUGUCGUGUAAGCACCGGUUAGAAACAGUACCCAGAGGCCCGAGGAUCGACGGUAAUUCGGAGUUCAAACACGAAAUCUGUUUGUCAAAAACUGAUUUAUUUAAAAAAAAGAAAUCUCAACAGCUGCAGGUGUUGUGUACAGAUCCCGGCUCAUCAGCAUCAGUGUGUGUUUGUGCUGGAGGUCGAUCAAUGCGCUGGUAAUUAUUCGCUGUUCCUUCUCUCUGCCCGUGCUGUAAUAAAUCCCGCCGAGCCGCUGAAGGCUGAAUUUUGAUGUGAUAAUUGAUGCCGUGUUUUAUUUUUGUUGUGAAAUGGCUUGUCUGAAAUGUACACGGCGUGCGUGUGUUUGUCUGUGUGUGUCCACCUGUCAUGUUUGAUUAGUAUCUCUGUUCCUCAGUUGGAAGUCAGCGAGGGCAAGUCUGAAUGGUAGCUCUUACCGGCACAGUGGUGCGUGUGUGUGUGUGUGUAUACACUUGUGUGUGCGCCCAGAUUUCUCCUACCGCUUUUGGAACAUUUUCUGGGUUAGCGCUGUCUUUUUUAGGUCCAGUAGAGGUCCAGUCCUCAAGAGGGGGCAGAGCCUGGACAACUUCACUUCAAUUCUGAGACUCUGGUCAAGCCUGGAUCCAGGCACAAGGGUCGUUGGAGGACCUGGACUGGGGUCCCUGGAGAAAACCCCUUACCCACAGUGAGGAAGAACCUGCAAACUCUAUCAGAAAGACCAUUUCUUACCACCAGGGGCAUGCUGUAAGGCAAGUGUACUCACCACCCUGACUCUAUGGCUCUUUGUUUUUUACCUACUCUUUCUUAAACCUUCAUUUAUUCUUACAUGAAGUCACAUGACCGCGUUCAAUAUAGAAAUGGUCAAAGGCUAAGGCUGUGGUUUGUCUGGAUAAUACGAGCGUCUGUAUGGUUUGUGUUGCACACUUGUGUAUCAUCAGAUGUGGAUGCGAGUGCUCACGGCCGUGUCGAUUUGUGUUCCUGCACACUUGGACCCGACCGAGGAGCCGCAUGUUUCCUGGCCCCAGUCAUUUCGAUGGCCGUAGGAGAGGCUACAGUUACGACCACAGGCUCUGACAGAGCAAUCACUGCAGCACUGUGACACUUAAAUACCCUGGUGCGUGCAUGCAUGGAUGUGUGUGUUUUUAUCCCUCCUCACCUCCCUCCCCCCUUCCUCACUUUAUCCUCACCCGUCAUUACCCUCUUGACUGUAAGAGCCUUGACAUCACUGUAGCUCUCUUACUCUUCACCACCAACUUUUUUUUUGGUUAUGAUUACACUACUAUACCGGCUGUGUGAGAUAUCUGUGUGCAUGGAUGGAUGGAUGGAUGGAUGGAUGGAUAGAUAGAUGCACUUUUUUCAUAUAUUAAGUAUAAAUACUUUAUGGGAGUAAUCAAUACUCCAUCAAUACUAUAUCAAUUUCACAUUGAUGAUGAUGAUGAUCCAGGUUCUAGGUAAGAGUCCUCUAACUGUUGCAAUUACCCUCCUUGAAGUUACUUUAAUUAAAAAGUAAUCGAUGCUGUAACAAACUCAGGUCAUGAUCACAUCGUACAGCUCAGAGGCAUGUUGUGUGUUGGCGUAUAUGAUUACUCAACACUCCUACAGCUUAUUAGUGGGUGCACUGUACGAGGCAUGUCAUUAAUGAUGCGUGUUUUCUUUAGAUCACCGCCGGCUGAGGUGAGAACAUAGAAGUGGCUGCUGUCACGAUGUUAGAAUUUCAAACUUAUUUGAAAAGGCAUUUUAGCAAAUGGUUAGCACCACUUAUUUUUCAUUGCGGAGUCAAUGUCAUAACGUUUCAUUUUGUCUUGUUUUGAAUCUAUGAACCACUGCAUACAGUUUUAGGGAGAACAUUAAAAAUGUGAACCGACCACAUCCACACAUCCUCCACCAGGGGCACUAAUCCACCUUUUGAGCUACUGCUGUUUGAUUCACUGUGCUAAAUAGUGUGUUUACAGUAAUCCAGAUAUUUUUUUUAUUUCCUGUGUGUUGUAAAAUACUGCCGGACGAAAAAAACCCAAAGAGUAAAAGGGGGAGAAAGGACUGUUGAAUGAUGGGACAUUAAAAACACACACAUAUUGAAAAAUCCCUGCUUCCCUGUGUUGUUUUGCCAGAAAAGAGACUAACCGCUGUGAUUUUCCUGAAUGCUGCCAUGAUUUAUAAAAUGUGAUUCAUAAAUUUCACAUUUACACACACCGCUGUCCUUUUAGUGUCACGGCAAACCCACCCUGGUUCAGAUCGAGUCCAAAACCCCACAUCUGCGGACACGGUUCUCCUUCACCUCUUCUCCAACAGCCUGUAAAUUCCUAAUAAACCAUUCUUUCUCUGCUUUUUAUCUUAUUGUCCUAACAUCUACUGUAUUUCUUCCUAAUGUUCCUCCUCCUCCUCUUCCAUUUCCGACUCUUUGGACUUUGUUUGACUCCCGUUGUUUUAUCGUUUUGUUUUUUUUUAAUUCAUGUGUGUGGUAUUUUUUCUCCAUAAGGUUUUCUUGAACCCCCGUCGUCAAAUUUUGUCCCCUUCGUUCUUGACCUUAUUUCCUCCCCUACAGAAAAGGAUUUUUUAUCCCCUCAGGUUCCCCUGGAAAACCUCAUCUAUACCCUCUGAAUGUCAUCAUCACAUCCAAGCUACUGUCACACUGUGAGAUGAUCCUGAUGAGUUCCUGGAUAUACCUUUGUCAAACAAAGGUAUAUCCCCAAAUAAAUUCCCGAGGAUCUUCUAAAGUCCAAUCAUGAGAUCAUCUUCCUCUACUCUUGGCUUCCUCGACUUUUACACCGUGUAUCCUCAGGUCCUCCUCUACCAAGCUGAAAACCUUCUCAGCUACGACAGACAACAGAACAACGACAUCAUUGGUUGCAUGAUACGCUGCGCCCGUGCCCCAAGGGACAUCAGGACGACGGUCGGUUGAGGAAACAACGAAAAAGGACAAUGGAAGAGGAAGAAGAACAGUAACCAGUGGACAAUGAGAGACCUUUGGGAAGCGAGAGGAGCUGAAGGAUCCUCACCAACCUAACCGUGACUUCACAAGCUACAGCUAGAUUAACUGCCAGGGAAAGUCAACGCCCCACUUCCAGGAUUCUCACCAUUUCGCUGACUACAACUGUCAAACCAGGACACUUCAUUUGACAGAACUGGAGCAAAUACAGCCGCGCUGUGCUCUACUGAAACAACUUGUGGUGUGAGCGGUUUUCAGGGAGGAGGAAGAGGUGAUGAGGCGGAGGGUGUACCAGGACAGAACUGGCACUAAGAGAUGGAGUGGGUGGGUGUGUGUGUGUGUGGGGAUGAGUUGGGCCGGAAACUCUGAUCCAGUGCAGACUGUUUUCGACGUCACGGUGCGGUAGUUUCUAAAAUACUCAAGCCACAGUUCCUAAAAUUGCUCUAACUGCAGUUCUGCUGAGAGCUGUCAAUCUACGUCCAGGUUUCUUCUACACUUCUCAGAGACUUUCACUGUGACAAAUGCAGGGAUAGGAACAGGCUCCACUUUUGGGUUGAUGAGUUUAGCCAGAGCCGCUCUGACAGCUCAUGGAUG